GAUGAAGAACGUAGCGAAAUGCGAUAAGUAGUGUGAAUUGCAGAAUUCAGUGAAUCAUCGAAUCUUUGAACGCACAUUGCGCCCCUUGGUAUUCCAUGGGGCAUGCCUGUUCGAGCGUCAUUUGUACCUUCAAGCUCUGCUUGGUGUUGGGUGUUUGUCUCGCCUCUGCGUGUAGACUCGCCUCAAAACAAUUGGCAGCCGGCGUAUUGAUUUCAGAGCGCAGUACAUCUCGCGCUUUGCACUCAUGACGAUGACGUCCAAAAGUACAUUUUUACACUCUUGACCUCGGAUCAGGUAGGGAUACCCGCUGAACUUAAGCAUAUCAAUAAGCGGAGGA
This 337-nucleotide unclassified non-coding RNA is filed under the name soil metagenome. Its description in RNAcentral is "partial contains 5.8S ribosomal RNA, internal transcribed spacer 2, and large subunit ribosomal RNA". The stretch from base 1 to 120 matches the Rfam family "5.8S ribosomal RNA", at positions 35 to 154 of the family's 154-position model. The record is from RNAcentral.